AUUAAAUCAGUGAAGAAGAGUAGUAGGUUCCCUCUAUGUUUAAAGAGAGUUUGUGGGUGGUGUGAACAAACAACAUAAGGAAUUGAAUGGACUUCUGAGUGUAUAGGUGAAAUGAUAGUAACCUAUAACGUUAUCAAGCGUUAAUUGAUUCAUACUUUUGUAUGACGUUGAGUGGCUCUAGUACGUAGAGCACUUAGGGUGGUACCGCGGAUCUAAACCAUUCGUCCCUAUU
Molecule: non-coding RNA, 232 nt
Filed under: Bacillus coahuilensis
Lineage: Bacteria; Bacillati; Bacillota; Bacilli; Caryophanales; Bacillaceae
Description: T-box sequence
Rfam family: T-box leader
About the family: Uncharged tRNA acts as the effector for transcription antitermination of genes in the T-box leader family.
Source: RNAcentral